RNAcentral lists this ribosomal RNA (624 nucleotides) under bacterium bubt20. Its description in RNAcentral is "bacterial SSU rRNA". It matches the Rfam family "Bacterial small subunit ribosomal RNA", at positions 46 to 665 of the family's 1533-position model. The record is from RNAcentral.
GCCUAACACAUGCAAGUCGAGCGGAUGACGGGAGCUUGCUCCUUGAUUCAGCGGCGGACGGGUGAGUAAUGCCUAGGAAUCUGCCUGGUAGUGGGGGACAACGUUUCGAAAGGAACGCUAAUACCGCAUACGUCCUACGGGAGAAAGCAGGGGACCUUCGGGCCUUGCGCUAUCAGAUGAGCCUAGGUCGGAUUAGCUAGUUGGUGGGGUAAUGGCUCACCAAGGCGACGAUCCGUAACUGGUCUGAGAGGAUGAUCAGUCACACUGGAACUGAGACACGGUCCAGACUCCUACGGGAGGCAGCAGUGGGGAAUAUUGGACAAUGGGCGAAAGCCUGAUCCAGCCAUGCCGCGUGUGUGAAGAAGGUCUUCGGAUUGUAAAGCACUUUAAGUUGGGAGGAAGGGCAGUAAGCUAAUACCUUGCUGUUUUGACGUUACCGACAGAAUAAGCACCGGCUAACUCUGUGCCAGCAGCCGCGGUAAUACAGAGGGUGCAAGCGUUAAUCGGAAUUACUGGGCGUAAAGCGCGCGUAGGUGGUUUGUUAAGUUGGAUGUGAAAGCCCCGGGCUCAACCUGGGAACUGCAUCCAAAACUCGCAAGCUAGAGAGCGGGAGCGGUAGGUUGA